Molecule: long non-coding RNA, 384 nt
Filed under: Vulpes vulpes (red fox)
Lineage: Eukaryota; Metazoa; Chordata; Mammalia; Carnivora; Canidae
Description: lncRNA (ENSVVUG00000014504.1)
Source: RNAcentral
GUGAGAAUGUGGUCACCUUGACACAGCAACCAUAUGAUUAAGGGCAUGGUCUAAAAUUUCCCUUUCAUUCCACAUGGCACAUGGAGGUUGGAAUGAUUUUACAUGUUUUCAUUUUUUGUUCUAUGUUUUAUUUUAAAACUACAUAAGCAGCCAUCUUUGGUUGAAAGUGAACACAUGCAGUGCCCUGUGUUUUUAGAACUACCACACGGCUCAGGAAUAAAGGCUGAGAUGCAAUGUCCAUGCUCAGUAGACACCCUUGAAUGAAUGAAUGAAGAGCACAGAACCCAGAUUCCAAAAGGUGAAUUAAUUUUGGAGCCAAAGCCAAAAGCAAGACCAACAGGAAGCCUAGGGUGUGAGAAAAGCAUUUUUAAAAACUGGUGAUUG